CUCGUAGGCGGUUCGUCGCGUCCGGUGUGAAAGUCCGUCGCUUAACGGUGGAUCCGCGCCGGGUACGGGCGGGCUUGAGUGCGGUAGGGGAGACUGGAAUUCCCGGUGUAACGGUGGAAUGUGUAGAUAUCGGGAAGAACACCAAUGGCGAAGGCAGGUCUCUGGGCCGUUACUGACGCUGAGGAGCGAAAGCGUGGGGAGCGAACA
RNAcentral lists this ribosomal RNA (207 nucleotides) under uncultured bacterium. Its description in RNAcentral is "partial 16S ribosomal RNA". It matches the Rfam family "Bacterial small subunit ribosomal RNA", at positions 568 to 774 of the family's 1533-position model. The record is from RNAcentral.